CCAUCGGCAGCCCUGGCCGCCCGGCAAGGCAGCUGGAGGCUGGAAUAAGUUUAAGUGAAGGGUGCGCCGAACUGAAGAGGGAAAAGGCUCUAAUUCCCAUAAUGAAGUGAGCCCUGGUGAGUACAGUGACCACCACUCGGCAGCGGGCCGCCUGCAGGGCCACCUCCGGGCCACGACAGCCCUCACCGCAGCCUGGGCUGCACCUGUGCUGCCCGGGACUCUACCCUUCCUGCCUCCCAUGGGGCUCUGGGCCAGCGGCUGACACCUGCUGUAGGAACAGGCAGGGACACAGGGGAACUCGUGUCACCUGGGGUGAGCCUCAGAUCCCCAUAUGGUUUGUGAUCAGAGGACCACUUUGCAAGGUGAAGGACCUCUGAUCCUCCCUGACGGUCCUCACUCAGUGGGGGUGGGGUCCAGGUGUCCUGGCCUUGCCCGGGCCCACCUGAGUCCCAGGGGCAUGGGCGCUGGUCCCCAAGCACCCACUGAACACUGAGUGGCCAAGUCCAGCUUCCUCUGCAGAGCCUCCUCCUUGCGCCGCUCCUGCCCACCCCGCCUCUGACCCUCGGCCUCACCUGCGCGGGCUGUGGGACUAUCUAGCCACCCCGGCUCCUCCCGGACACCGUCCCGGCCCACUCACGCAGGCGGUGUGUGCGCCCGCCCCCUACCUUUCAGCAGCAGCUGGAACUCCUUCAGCAGCACCUCCCGGGGAAUGAUGGGGCCAGGGGGGCCUUGGGGCCCAGGGGGGCCUGGGGGCCCCGGCAGGCCAAGCUGAAAAGGAACCUCAGCAGGCUCAGAGGACGUCUGAGCAGGUAGGCGGGGGACCACUGGGACCUCUCCACGAGUUCUCACCACUCAGGCAGGCAGGAGGGGAUCCUGCUUUGACCUGGGGGUGAAGGUCAGCCUCCCGGCCUCCGACUCCCCUGAGAAGGCAGUGAGGCUGCGCUUUGGAAGCCGUGGGCUCUGAGUGUGAAGACGGGGAUUGUGGGGCCUCUGGGGGUGGGGCCCCAAGAACCACAAAUGGGGACACAGAGGGGUUCCUGGGUGGAGGGAGAGGGGGACAUUGCCGGUCAGCCAACAGCAAGUGAGUCCCCUGCAGGGGAGAGCACCCUGGCUUAGCUUGGGGUGGGGCCAGGUGGUUCCAAGGGGUGACAGGGAGGCGAGGCCACAGUGACAGCCCGGCAGCCCACCCACCUCAGGCCCAGAGCCCAGCACCCCAGCACUGGGGUAGACCCGGGACAGGGCAAUGCCAGUCCUGGGUGGGUAGAGAAGCCCAAACCCAGUGUGAGUGACACGGCCCUGGCCCAGAGCCCCCCACCCCUGGGGACAAGGAAGGGGCAGACAUCAGGAGCUGGUGGCAGGUUUCGGGCUAGCUGAACGACAGUGGGGACCCCACAGCCUCCAGGGCCCCUGAGGCUCCCCACCUCCCCAGGCAGACGGUGUGUUGCUCUAGCCCAGCUGCAAUCCCCGGCUUGGUCCCGGACUCCCCUCCCAGGUCAGCCCAGGCCCCCCUCGCUAGGAUGCAGAGGGAAGAGAAGGGGGUAGCUAAUGGGGCUGUCACCUCACAGCUCUCUAGGGGUGCGGGGAAAAUGUAGGAACAACUGUCAAACUCAGGGUCGUCUGGUCCCCCAGCCUGGCACUUUCCGUGCUCUCUGACCCCAGGCCAAGGGGGAGGGUCCGUCCUCACUGGCCAUGCUCAGGGUGCUCCCGCGGAGCUGGUGCAGGGUGCUCGGGGGUGAUGGUGGCAGGCUGGGGGCGCCGGGGGGCCCGCAGGUGGAGGCCCCUCGCUUGUCCCCGGAGACGCACACGCACACGCUGCUGGGGGCUCUUGUGCUCACCUUCAGCUUCCUGGCCUUGCCUCUCCCUCCCCUCUUGCCGUUGACGCCUUUGUCACUCUGCCUGAUGAAGAGCAUCCAGGCGUCCCUGGGGUCGAAGUUGUGCGUCCCGUCGGUGGCAGGCUCCUGGAACACAGCCGGCCCUCGGGUCGGUUCGCCUCCCCCGCUGGGUGCCCGCCACGCAGAUGGAGCUUUGCAGGCCGUCAGGGCGCAGGACGGGCCUCGGGCCCUUGUCCUGGUCCAUGGCGGCGCCCUCCAAGCUGGCACAGCCCCCCCGCCGGCCCGUGCUUCCCUCCCUCCUGGCACACGGAGGACGACGACCAGGCCACACGACAGCCUGGGCACUGCGAGAAGACAACUUCCUGGCGCUUUGUGGGGUGCAGGAAGGUGGGUGUGGAGCCUGGUAGCAGGUGGGAGCCCUGGCCCCGCUGGGCCCCCAGCCCCCUCUCCCUGGGACAAUGACCGAGAGGAUGGGACCACAGACUCACGAGUGCAGGGGAGGGGGCGGUGAGACCACGAGGGCCCGUGCGGCCCAUUUUGGCCCUCGGGGCGGCUGCAGCUUGCAGGUCGAGGCGGUUAGAGGCCCGGAGGCUCAAGGCCCCUGCACGGGGUGCCACACCACCCGGCUCCCUCAGGCCUCCUAAACAACGGCAGUGAUGAUUCUAGAAAUAUCCAUUGCCCUGCAUGCGGCAUUCUGACCAGUCCUGGCUCCGAGGAAGAUUCCAGGAUGUGCCUUGCAGGGAGAGGCCAUGGCCCAUGAGGCAGUGGGCCUCAGGCGUUCUGGGCUCCGGGCAAGGAGGGCUCAGGUGAGGCCACGAGCAGCAGCGCAGGUGGCAAUGGAGCCCAGGGUUUUGGAGGCGGCCAGGACCCUUGGUCAGCGCCCGAGCCAGUGGUCUCCCGGCCGCCCUGCGGGACCGGCGUGCCACGGUGGGGAGGCGGGGCCCUCCCUGUCGGAGGAGCCUGGGGCUGCACAGAGAGAGGCCUCAGGGUGCCCAGGGCCUCCCCACUGCCAGGUGCGGCCCUGCUCGCCGCUCACCGAGGACACAGGACUGGAUUGCACCUUCCGGCCCCGCUCUGCCUUCCGUGGGAACACACGCCAGGAGCAUCCCACACAGGCCGGAGCGGCGUGCCUGGCUGACCCUGCCAGUGGGGCCGGUGGAUCCCAGCUGGACUCAGACCCCAGAGGAGGUGUCCAGGUGUCAGCGGAAGCCCAGCGGGGGCCUGCACUUGGCACUGCCUGCAAGCUCUUGGGGACACGCUGAACCAGACCGUCUCCCCGAGGGCCCUGUCCCCUCUGGGUCUGCAAGGCCUGCCCACACCGGGGCCCCUCUGAAGCACCCCCAACGUCCCCACCUGACCACUCUGCCCUGCCCUCGAAGGAAGAACGGGGCGCAGCUGAAGAUCACCCCUCCAAGUAGAAGGAAACGAUCUGGGAUUCAUCUGGAAACUGCAGAUCCCCAAGAAGACGUUUGGUGAACACCGGCUUCUGUCACAGGCUCUCAACAAAAUACACGAGCUUCUUUCAUCUGCAGACAUUCGGCAGCUUUGUUCCUGUGAACAAUCCCAGUGAUGUCAUGGGCCCUGCCGGAGGACCCAAAUCAAAUCGGUUCUGGUGCCGGUACAGGCUCCCAUAAAGCUGUCCCGAGGUGAUGAUGCAGCCUGGCUCUGGGGCCGGGGCCUUCAGGAAGGACCUUUGCCGAUGAAGUCAUGGGAAUAAAAGCUCCCUUUGCCCCGGAAAACAGUGGGAGCCUGAAGUCAACUUGUUGUGUGGCCUCUCAACGUCCAGGCAGGCGACCUUUCGCUGCUUCCUGGAACCUUCCGAACACAUGACAUCAUCUAAUUCUCAAAUCGUGUGAUUAUCCCCAUUGCACAGAUGAGGAAACUGAGCCUGAGAUCUUGGGACUGGCCCAGGUCACGCGUCCGGCCUUUGCAACUCGGAGUCAGCAGGCUCACGGGGUGAACAACGUUUACUCGUUCCUGCCGCGGGUCAGGGGGUGAGCCCCGCGCAUCCCGGACAGGUCCGUGGGCAACUUCAGAUCUGACAGGGGAAGAGCCUGCCCUGAAAAGCUCUGGGGCUGACUCAGCUUUGGGGAAGUCCUCCUGGCUCGUGGGGGGCUUAUUCCAAACAGGAAAUGACGUCCUCUGUGAAGAUUCUCAGGGAAGCUCCCACUUCCUUCUUCAAUUAAUCAGCGUCGUGCUUGGCCGCCUCCCUGGGGUCCCAGGAGCAAUCGGCCGUGCACGCAGCCACGGUAGCCACACCUCAGGCUGAGUGGCACCGGGGACCAAAGAUGAAUGACAAGGCCCCGGAGGAGUGGCCGUCCUUACCUUGUAUGUGGCUGUGACCACCCCUCCCUCAGUCACAGAUAGAGUCUUGGUCAAAACGCCUACUUCCCGCUCAGCCAACUGGUCGACCAACCAGCUAGAGCCGGGGAAUGAACUGACUACGGUGAACUGUCGCCUGACCAGCUCGUUAAUGACAGAUACUUACCCGGGACUGUCAACUGCUUGCUUCCAGCAGUCACCGUCCCUGCCUAGUACAGGGAAGAUGCUCAAUAAGAAAAGGGUCUCGUGGGACGCCUGGGUGGCUCAGCGGUUGGGCGUGUGCCUUUGGCUCAGGGUGUGGUCCCAGUCCGGGGAUCGAGUCCCUUCGGGGAGCCUGCUUCUGCCUCUGUCUCUGCCUCUCUGCGUCUC
Canis lupus familiaris (dog) is the source of this 4523-nucleotide long non-coding RNA. RefSeq lists it as uncharacterized. The transcript has 5 exons. The record is from RefSeq and is a predicted model, not a curated record. NCBI's taxonomy places the organism in Eukaryota, Metazoa, Chordata, Mammalia, Carnivora, Canidae.